RNAcentral lists this long non-coding RNA (2804 nucleotides) under Nicotiana tabacum (common tobacco). Its description in RNAcentral is "long non-coding RNA (NTAB_LNC010072)". Lineage: Eukaryota; Viridiplantae; Streptophyta; Magnoliopsida; Solanales; Solanaceae. The record is from RNAcentral.
CUUCAUCAAGGCCAAAAAAAACUAAGAGGUAGGUGAAUGUGCAAAGCAUUUGGGUCUUUUCAUAAAUGAGCAGUGUGUUUACCCACAACUUUGAUAUCUGCUUUUUAAGGCUUUUGAGGGAGGGGCAGUGCCGCAGUGAAAUUGGAAAAAAAAAAAUUCUGUCCGAUUACCCUUCUGGAUUUGUGGCAUCUCUUCAGUAAUUUCUCUCCCUCAUUAAGUGUUGUUCGUAAUUGCCCUAUUCCUUCAAUUGUUGAACAAGUAUUAUUCUUUGAUUCGUUGUUUCCUCUUGGCUCACUGUUACAUAUUUGAAUAAUUAUAACGACAAGUAGAUAAAAAUGGGAUUAGAAGUUCACUUUAAAAUGGCUAUACGCUACACCUGAAGUGAUAGUACUAGGUGAAUUUAUUGAAGCUCUGAUAAAUAAUAGUACUAAGUUCUCUCACGUGAUUCUUGUGGUGGUGUCAAAUUUUCUGGAGAUUUGACUAAUCAGCUUACGUACACUAUGUUUCGACUAACUCUUUUGUUAUAUAAGUCUGAAAAUGGAGAUUAGGUUAGGGGAGAAACCACACUAAUUCAAAAAUGGGCUAAUUAGACAGAGUCCAUCAUGUGUUUGAUUAUAUAAUCGAAACAAAAAUCCUUAUAGAAAAUGAUUAAAGCAGAAGAGUUUCAUAUUCCUGUGAUUGUCAUUAACCUUACUGAGUUCAGCUAGCAUUAUUAAGUAGAUAUUGUUUUUAACUCAUUCAGAUUAAUGGACUCAUUCACAGCAACUCAACGGAUUCUUUCUUUCUUUCUUUUGGAAUAGGGGUGGACUAAUUAUUUUUAUUUGUGUGUAGUUGCGUAUUCACUUUGCCAGUAUGAGCAGGAAACAAAGGUUCUGAAACCUUCAAUGAGGAAUCUAUUUCAUUAUCCGGUUCUGUAGCUAUUGGUUUUUAUAGAGAUUUUCAGCAAAUUCUUUUUUUUUCAUCGACUUCGUGUCUUUUCCUUUAGCAUCAAUAUAAAGUUCAAUACGAAUCAAGGGGACUCAAUAUGUUUGUGUUCAAAAUGAUGGUAUUUAUAAGCAUAUGUUUUGGUAUUGAUAUUAUAGUUUUUUCUGUUAGACGUUUAUGGAGUCUUAGUUGUUUUGCCGAGCAACAAGUACUAAAUACUAAAUUCAGGCUAUUUCGAGUUGCAAGGAUACUGUCAAACAUGUGAAGAUAGACUAUUGUCUUCUGAUUAAUAUGAGCGAAGAAUUAUUUGCCAGGCAACUGCCAAACAUGCGAGGAUAUAUUGUUGUCUUCUGAUGUACAGGUAUGCACCUUGAAUAUUCUUCUAAUGUACAAGCUUUAGUGAUGUUGCCAUGGUUAAGAGCUGAUAUUACCGAUCAUGAUAUAUAUCAAAGCUCAUAGUAAUAAAGAUAAAUGCAUGCGUGUAAUUGUAUACUACUAUUUAAUAUAAAAUUGCUCCACCACGCAAACAAGAGUACUUAAGAAAUUGUUAUGGUCUUUGUUUAAGUUUUAAAAAGAUGAUUAUUUUUACGGUUACAACUCAUGUAGUAUCAUUAAAAUUGUCAAGGCUGAUUAUUUUUUCAGCAACAACUCAUUUGGUACUUAGAGAUGUUCAUAGUCCAGUUACACAUUCAACCAUAUAAUUGUGCAAAAGAAGUUGAGCUAUAAGGGUGUACAAAAAUGUGUGCUUCAAAGUACAAGGCCUACAGGCAAUAGAAAAUGCAUUGAGAAACUUCCCAUUAAUUUUGUAAUGGAGCCAGAAACAUAAUGCUAAAAAAGGAGAUAACAAGAAAUUCACAUUGGUUUUAAUAUGUUCACAUGUUUUACUCUCUUUUUUUAUAUAUGGUUUGAUAAUUAGCCAUUCACAUCUUAAAGUUCUAGCGUAAACCUUUUCAAUGAUGGCUAGAGUAGGAAUGUCUAAGACUCGAAACCUUUGGUAAUUUCAUUAGAAAACUUUGAGAUUAAUGAACUUUUGUACAGUUUUGUGUGAAUCUAUUUUGAUAAAUACGGAUUAGUGGAUUCAUCUAUUAUUUAGAGAUUAUACUUGGCAAUUGUGAGGAAGAUGAAAGUGUUUAUCUACCUACUGUCUUUUAUUCUUAAUUUGUUGCAUUAGUAGUGGAAUUUUUUUGUUGGUCUUCUGGUCCUUUAUAUUAACAAUGGAGGUAUUAACUGCUUUAGGUUAGUAAGAUCAAGGGCAUAGAUUCCUUAUUUUAUCGUCUUCUUGAUCUAAGCAUUAUUAGAUGGUAUAGAUGAGUAGGGCCUUUAAAGGGAAAGUUGAACUACAACCAAUUUAAGUUCAUACUUUGUUGUCUUCACAUUAUGUCCUCUCAGCUAUAUGUAGAAGCUACGGGUUCAACUGAACCCAUAGUUUUUGCUCAUAUUUUUGCUCAUACCAUGUAUUUUCGCCCAACAAAUUAUUAAAUAUGUAUGAAUAAUAAAUUUUGAACCUAUUAAAUUAGAUGAGAUGUGGUAGAAUUGUGAAUCUGAACCCAUAAAGUUUAAAUCCUAAAUCUAAAUCUACCGUAGAGCAUCAUUUGUUUUAUGGAGUUGUUGAAUUGCUAAACUUCAAAGUUAUAGGUAUAUAUUUGCAUGUGUCACUUGAACUAACUAAAAAGUUCUUAUACCGAGCCGAUAAUCUCAUUCACUUUGUACAUUUUCAAUGAUUUUAAAAAAGUAAACCUUGGAUACUAAACAAGAGCGUAAGCUAUGUCUCAAAGCUUGAUUUAUAUGUAUUGUAAUGGUUAUUUUUAAUUUAUUUAUCAGAAAGUAGUAGCACGUUUUAAACUUGAAGUUGGAGGCUGAUUUAAAAGAGAAAGCAUCUU